This is a long non-coding RNA of Brienomyrus brachyistius, 813 nucleotides long. RefSeq lists it as uncharacterized. The record is from RefSeq and is a predicted model, not a curated record. NCBI's taxonomy places the organism in Eukaryota, Metazoa, Chordata, Actinopteri, Osteoglossiformes, Mormyridae. The transcript is spliced from 2 exons.
CGUUCUGCAAGUUCCUGGGGCGGUCCAGCGAAAAUCAUUUUAAGCAAGUUUAUCAGUUUUCUUUACGUGCUAUUAUUCACAGUCUGCAAGCAAAUGGUUAAAUGAAUACGGCAUUUUCUCCGCUCCGUUUAAUGAGCCGACCAAGCCAGAACUUAAAGGAAUCUUCUGGAAGAUGUCUGGAGAACAUUAGGUGUUGGUUCGCUGUUCUCGUGUAAAAUUAACUUUUGGAGUGGAAGCGGUGCGGGCCGCGACCCUGGCUGGCCCCAUGUAAACGACAUCACUGGCAUCUGUUUUUGUUUUUGUUGUAGCUCGGGCUGAAUUUAAAAUGCCAUUUUGAAAUCAGAUCAGGUUUUUCCCUCCCCGGAACUGCAGCAUCUUUACCUAUGAGACGGUGCAGAUUGCAGCUUUCAGUGUUUCAUUUUGGCCACUCGGUGGUGCUAAAGUACCGUAAAAGUCCUGAAACGAUAAACGCAACGCCUGCAGCUAAGCACAUUUCUAGCAACACUUCCGAGAAGCAGUCAAGGUCAGUCAAUGACACAGUACUUUUUAUUACGUGAUGUAAAAAAACACGGACAUAUAAUACGGAUACACAACAUACUAAUAUCAAACAACGGUGAAAGGAAGUUAUUUUAUGCACUGUUAUUAAUCGCUAUAGCUUCUCAUGCUUGAGGAUUACACAUCUAACGUGGUGCACACUUUACUGUAGGUUUAUUAGACCAGCUGGCACCCAUGUGUGGAAGAUAAAAUGCGUACUUCGCUCCGCUGUUUUUAUUUUACUUAAAAUCAUAAAUUCAUAAAUGCCUAUGCAUUACA